Long non-coding RNA from Dipodomys spectabilis (banner-tailed kangaroo rat), 205 nucleotides. RefSeq lists it as uncharacterized. Lineage: Eukaryota; Metazoa; Chordata; Mammalia; Rodentia; Heteromyidae. The transcript is spliced from 3 exons. The record is from RefSeq and is a predicted model, not a curated record.
UUCAGCCAUAGCGCCAUCUUCUAGGAACAACUGCGCCAUGAGAGCCAAGUGGAGGAAGAAGCGAAUGCGCAGGCUGAAGCGCAAAAGAAGAAAGAUGAGGCAGAAGUCCGAAUAAACCAGCUUGUGCACCCGUCGACGCCAGAGGAGCAGGAGGAAUAAGGAAUGCCAUAGCCUGGGACACUGAUAGGACUUUGACUGCAUGUUC